This 1204-nucleotide long non-coding RNA is filed under the name Oreochromis niloticus (Nile tilapia). Its description in RNAcentral is "lncRNA (ENSONIG00000033505.1)". The record is from RNAcentral. Lineage: Eukaryota; Metazoa; Chordata; Actinopteri; Cichliformes; Cichlidae.
AUGUCUUGGGUUCAUGUAGCUGUAGUAAGGAAGUCCACAGUGAUCAGCACCAGGUGGCACUGUGGGACAACUGUUAUUGCAACAUUGCUACUCUGCACUCGUCAUAUGUUGCCAGGACAAGUUUCUUCUUCUUCUUAUUGUUAUUAUGAUUAUUAUUGUUAUUCUUCUUCUUGUAAUUUUCCAACAACUGCAGCCAACAGUUUCUCCAGCAAUGCCAUUGUCCAAUUUCAUCUGUCAUCAGCAUGAUAUUUUGCCCCCUUUGAACUCCCACUCACUGGAUAUUUUUUCCAUUUUGGACCUCCUGUGAACCCAGGAGGCUUUACUGCAUGUGUGCAACUGCAAAACCCACCAUCCAAAAAUGCCUGAAAUUGUAUCCUGUUAUAGGGCGUAGAAUCUAGUAGUGUUGUCAUGCUGGUUGUUAUCGCCGACACAUCCAGGGUCAGUUUUGUUGCUACUGUCUGUAUCUGAUUUACCAAAAGCAUAACUGCUGGCGGGUCACACUGAUGGAAACACGCAUCACGCCAGGGCAAAAGCUCCCUCUUUGUGUUAACAUUCCUCUAAACUGCAUUCUCCCCACACUGGUCGCCUCAGUGUCAGCAGUGGGAAACAACUCUGUAACAAUGACUGUGGAACUCCUGAUGUUCAGUGUCAGUGAAAGAUUUGGAGGUCUUUAACACUUGCUGGGAUUUAAAAUGAAGUGCAAAUGACGAAGAGUCACUUUUAUGUUAAGAUAAUUUGCACAUCCCAUGGAUAUUCUUUAAAUAUACAACGGUAAAGCACAAUCAUUGUUAGGAACAGGCCAGCCAGUUACUGUUUGAACCGAAUCCAGCUCUGUCCCAAGGUUUUUCUCACUCGUGUCUGCUGUUUACCUCAGCUGUCAAUGCCGGGUGAGGAGUGCCCACCUUUAUUUAGUGAAACGAGUCUGAUACGAGUCAGUGAGUCAGAGAAGCUCACGGCAGCGAUAAUGAGGCUGAUUGUUGAGGCUAUGCUGAACUUUCCUGUCAGCAAUCGGUGCUGUUUUUGUUGGUGUUAGCUUCUGUUAGACGACAUAAGGUAGUGAAUACAUUUGCGUACAUGAGAAUGUAAUCAAGCUGAGUGUGAGAAAAGAGAGAGGGACUUUUUAGGACACUUGUAACCUGCUGUUGUUGUUUGGCCAGCUGUUGUCAACUCUGGGGAAUAAAUGAUGCAUGUUUUCAUGUGUUGA